This 253-nucleotide ribosomal RNA is filed under the name uncultured bacterium. RNAcentral's name for it is "partial 16S ribosomal RNA". It matches the Rfam family "Bacterial small subunit ribosomal RNA", at positions 524 to 776 of the family's 1533-position model. The record is from RNAcentral.
UACGGGGGGGGCAAGCGUUGUUCGGAAUUACUGGGCGUAAAGGGCUCGUAGGCGGCCAACUAAGUCAGACGUGAAAUCCCUCGGCUUAACCGGGGAACUGCGUCUGAUACUGGAUGGCUUGAGUUCGGGAUAGGGAUGUGGAAUUCCAGGUGUAGCGGUGAAAUGCGUAGAUAUCUGGAGGAACACCGGUGGCGAAGGCGGCAUCCUGGACCGACACUGACGCUGAUGAGCGAAAGCCAGGGGAGCAAACGGG